GUGGAGAGCUUUCAUUUUUCCCAAGAGAAAGCAAAUAAUGUUAGAGCAAUAAUUCCAGUAUCCGAAUUAGUCUUAUCCCUUGGCUCGCUUUAAUAUUAUUUCUCCCUAAUACUCCCUUAACCGCAUCCCCCUGGUGCGGUUAUUUUU
This is a small RNA of Listeria monocytogenes EGD-e, 147 nucleotides long. It matches the Rfam family "Listeria sRNA rli32". Lineage: Bacteria; Bacillati; Bacillota; Bacilli; Caryophanales; Listeriaceae. The record is from Rfam.